UACCAGCUGGCUGCAACUGUUUAUUAAAAACACAGCACUGUGCAAACACGAAAGUGGACGUAUACGGUGUGACGCCUGCCCGGUGCCGGAAGGUUAAUUGAUGGGGUCAGCGCAAGCGAAGCUCCUGAUCGAAGCCCCGGUAAACGGCGGCCGUAACUAUAACGGUCCUAAGGUAGCGAAAUUCCUUGUCGGGUAAGUUCCGACCUGCACGAAUGGCGUAAUGAUGGCCAGGCUGUCUCCACCCGAGACUCAGUGAAAUUGAACUCGCUGUGAAGAUGCAGUGUACCCGCGGCAAGACGGAAAGACCCCGUGAACCUUUACUAUAGCUUGACACUGAACAUUGAGCCUUGAUGUGUAGGAUAGGUGGGAGGCUUUGAAGUGUGGACGCCAGUCUGCAUGGAGCCGGCCUUGAAAUACCACCCUUUAAUGUUUGAUGUUCUAACGUGGACCCGUGAUCCGGGUUGCGGACAGUGUCUGGUGGGUAGUUUGACUGGGGCGGUCUCCUCCUAAAGAGUAACGGAGGAGCACGAAGGUUGGCUAAUCCUGGUCGGACAUCAGGAGGUUAGUGCAAUGGCAUAAGCCAGCUUGACUGCGAGCGUGACGGCGCGAGCAGGUGCGAAAGCAGGUCAUAGUGAUCCGGUGGUUCUGAAUGGAAGGGCCAUCGCUCAACGGAUAAAAGGUACUCCGGGGAUAACAGGCUGAUACCGCCCAAGAGUUCAUAUCGACGGCGGUGUUUGGCACCUCGAUGUCGGCUCAUCACAUCCUGGGGCUGAAGUAGGUCCCAAGGGUAUGGCUGUUCGCCAUUUAAAGUGGUACGCGAGCUGGGUUUAGAACGUCGUGAGACAGUUCGGUCCCUAUCUGCCGUGGGCGCUGGAGAACUGAGGGGGGCUGCUCCUAGUACGAGAGGACCGGAGUGGACGCAUCACUGGUGUUCGGGUUGUCAUGCCAAUGGCACUGCCCGGUAGCUAAAUGCGGAAGAGAUAAGUGCUGAAAGCAUCUAAGCACGAAACUUGCCCCGAGAUGAGUUCUCCCUGAGACUUUAGGUCUCCUGAAGGAACGUUGAAGACGACGACGUUGAUAGGCCGGGUGUGUAAGCGCAGCGAUGCGUUGAGCUAACCGGUACUAAUGAACCGUGAGGCUUAACCUU
This 1147-nucleotide ribosomal RNA is filed under the name Salmonella enterica. RNAcentral's name for it is "partial 23S ribosomal RNA". It matches the Rfam family "Bacterial large subunit ribosomal RNA", at positions 1783 to 2925 of the family's 2925-position model. Lineage: Bacteria; Pseudomonadati; Pseudomonadota; Gammaproteobacteria; Enterobacterales; Enterobacteriaceae. The record is from RNAcentral. RNAcentral also lists the same sequence under 4 other names.